Molecule: ribosomal RNA, 822 nt
Filed under: Triticum aestivum (bread wheat)
Lineage: Eukaryota; Viridiplantae; Streptophyta; Magnoliopsida; Poales; Poaceae
Description: partial small subunit ribosomal RNA
Source: RNAcentral
AUGCUGCUCCGCCUCGGCCGCGUGCCCACCCUGGUCGUCUCGUCCGCGGACGCAGCGCGCGAGGUGCUGCAGCUGCAGGACCACGCCUUCGCCAACCGGCCCUCGCUCGCCAUCCCGCGGCGGCUCCUCUACGGCUGCACGGACAUCGCCUUCGCUCCCCACGGCGCCUACUGGCGAGGCGUGCGCAAGAUCGCCGUGCUCCACCUGCUGAGCCCCGCCAGGGUGCGCGCCUACCGCGGCGUGCGCGAGGAAGAGGUGGCCGAGCUUGUCCGGAAGGUGGAGCGGCAGGCACACGCAGGCGGCGGCGUGGUGCGGCUGAGCGAGCUCCUGAGCGGCUUCGCCAAGGACGUGAACGGGCGGAUCGUGCUCGGGGUGCGCGCCUCGGGCGGGGCCGGGUGGCGCGCCAAGGUGGACGCGCUGCUCGAGGAGGCCAACGCGCUGCUCGGGGAGUUCCACGUCGGCGACUACUUCCCGUGGCUGGCGUGGGUGGCCGCCGUGGACGAGACGGAUGCCAAGGUGAGCAGGGCGUUCGAGAGGAUCGAUCGCAUCCUCGAGGAGAUCGUCGUGGCCGCGAGCGCUGGCACGGGGGGACGCCACGUCGAGGCGUUCGUGCAUGUGCUGCUAUCACUGCAGAGUGAUUUGAGCGGGGCCGGGUGGCGCUUGACCAGGGACAACGUCAAGGCUCUACUCGAGCGAACAGCCAAAUCAAGUCGCCGGAGAAAUCACCAUGACCGCCCACAGCCAGGGGCGCGCUCGUUGCCUUGUCCGCCGGCAACUGGAUGCAUGCCCUCUCCAUGGCAACCACAGCCAGGGCUUCAUUAG